UACUGAUACCCGUCAAUAGACAAAGAUAGAAUAAGGAUCAAACUUAAAUAUUCUCCCUUUUAUGGGACAAUACAUAUAUAUAUAUAUAGAACAAGAGAUAUACAUUGGAGGUGAAUGAAUAAUGUUGUAGCAUAUGCCAUUUGCCUUAUUGCUGAGUCCAGUCCAGACGUUCUGAUUUGUUGAACUUUCAAUCUUGUUGCAAUGAGAAUGCAAAGACUUAAGUUCAAGGAAUGGAUACCCUUUCCCUGCACAGGCAAACGCAGCAGAUUACAACCCUGCAACAUGAAAAUGAGAUAGUAAACCUGGAGAGUUAAGCGUGUUUUUCUUUUGCAGGAAUAAGUAGUGUAGUUGGGGUUGGAGAAAUUCUAAACACAGAAACAUAGGCUGUUAAGAGUGAAGCAUGUUGUUAUUCAGCUGUGGCAACCUCAAGUGCAAUUGCAUGGUUAAAGAUGGAAUUAGAUAGAAACCUUAAAAUGGAGGUAUGAGGUACAUGUUGUGAAGUAAAGAUUCAGAUAUAUAUACGCUGCCAAAUUCUUCCCGAGUUUGUAAAGGAUCUAUGGGGUAAUUCAUCAAAGUGAACUGUGGAGAUUGGAUCAUAUUUUCUGGAACCAGUAGGUGGAAUCAAAUGGAUCAGUCUUUCCUUGGAGGCUGGCUGGUAUUGGUCUUAAAAAGAAGAGAAAAGUAAAGCAUUGAAGAGGAA
Molecule: long non-coding RNA, 700 nt
Filed under: Theobroma cacao (cacao)
Lineage: Eukaryota; Viridiplantae; Streptophyta; Magnoliopsida; Malvales; Malvaceae
Description: long non-coding RNA (TCAC_LNC005206)
Source: RNAcentral